Molecule: ribosomal RNA, 465 nt
Filed under: uncultured bacterium
Lineage: Bacteria
Description: partial 16S ribosomal RNA
Rfam family: Bacterial small subunit ribosomal RNA
Source: RNAcentral
CCUACGGGGGGCAGCAGUGGGGAAUAUUGCGCAAUGGGCGAAAGCCUGACGCAGCGACGCCGCGUGAGGGAUGAAGGUCUUCGGAUCGUAAACCUCUGUCAGCAGGGAAGAACGGUCACUGUGCUAAUCAGCAGUGAAUUGACGGUACCUGCAAAGGAAGCACCGGCUAACUCCGUGCCAGCAGCCGCGGUAAUACGGAGGGUGCGAGCGAUAAUCGGAAUUACUGGGCGUAAAGCGCUCGUAGGCGGUAUGUCAAGUCAAGGGGGAAAUCCCCGCGCUCAACGUGGGAACUGCCUUUGAAACUGGCAAACUGGAGUGUGUGAGAGGAUAGUGGAAUUCCAGGUGUAGGAGUGAAAUCCGUAGAUAUCUGGAGGAACAUCAGUGGCGAAGGCGACUAUCUGGCACAUAACUGACGCUGAGGAGCGAAAGCGUGGGUAGCAAACAGGAUUAGAUACCCCGGUAGUC